RNAcentral lists this ribosomal RNA (501 nucleotides) under uncultured bacterium. Its description in RNAcentral is "partial 16S ribosomal RNA". It matches the Rfam family "Bacterial small subunit ribosomal RNA", at positions 30 to 523 of the family's 1533-position model. The record is from RNAcentral.
AUUGAACGCUGGCGGCAGGCCUAACACAUGCAAGUCGAGCGGAUGACGGGAGCUUGCUCCUUGAUUCAGCGACGGACGGGUGAGUAAUGCCUAGGAAUCUGCCUGGUAGUGGGGGGACAACGUUUCGAAAGGAACGCUAAUACCGCAUACGUCCUACGGGAGAAAGCAGGGGACCUUCGGGCCUUGCGCUAUCAGAUGAGCCUAGGUCGGAUUAGCUAGUUGGUGGGGUAAUGGCUCACCAAGGCGACGAUCCGUAACUGGUCUGAGAGGAUGAUCAGUCACACUGGAACUGAGACACGGUCCAGACUCCUACGGGAGGCAGCAGUGGGGAAUAUUGGACAAUGGGCGAAAGCCUGAUCCAGCCAUGCCGCGUGUGUGAAGAAGGUCUUCGGAUUGUAAAGCACUUUAAGUUGGGAGGAAGGGCAGUAAGUUAAUACCUUGCUGUUUUGACGUUACCGGCAGAAUAAGCACCGGCUAACUCUGUGCCAGCAGCCGCCGCAG